This 493-nucleotide ribosomal RNA is filed under the name uncultured bacterium. RNAcentral's name for it is "bacterial SSU rRNA". It matches the Rfam family "Bacterial small subunit ribosomal RNA", at positions 30 to 504 of the family's 1533-position model. The record is from RNAcentral.
CGAACGCUGGCGGCGUGCUUAAUACAUGCAAGUCGAACGAGAAAGUCCGGCUUCGGUUGGACAAGUAAAGUGGCGAACGGGUGAGUAACACGUGGAUAAUCUGCCCUUAAAUCUGGGAUAAUCCUCCGAAAGGAGGUCUAAUACCGGAUGAUACCCUUUAAUGGCAUCGUUUUAGGGUCAAAGGCGGGGUAACCUGCCGUUUAAGGAUGAGUCCGCGUCCCAUUAGCUUGUUGGUGAGGUAACGGCCCACCAAGGCUGCGAUGGGUAGCCGGCCUGAGAGGGCGAUCGGCCACACUGGGACUGAGAUACGGCCCAGACUCCUACGGGAGGCAGCAGUAGGGAAUAUUGCGCAAUGGACGAAAGUCUGACGCAGCAACGCCGCGUGGGUGAUGAAGCUUCUUGGAGUGUAAAACCCUGUCAGUGGGGAAGAAACGUAUGGGGAGUAACUGCCCUGUACCUGACGGUACCCGCAGAGGAAGUCCCGGCUAACUCC